UAGAAAAUAAUAGGAAAACAUAUUCUCUUCAAAAUUAAAGACGCACGCCGGUCGCCAAUUUGAAGGUGAGGCACGCCGUAGCAAAACCUACGGGCUUAACACUAACGCUGCAACAAUCUCCGCCAGUUCACCCUACCACGGUCUCCGACCAUCCCCAGGUUUCAAUAUUGUUGCAGAAAUCAUUCUUCUCCUUCAAUUUCUUGUCUAUCGGCAAAAAAUUUCUGCUUACCAGGUCCCCGACGCCAACAGCGGCCAUGAACAAGUAACACAAACAUCAAGGAUACCUAGUAUUGCUGAAAAUACUUCACUUUCUCACGGUCAUACAGUCUGAUGAUCGAUAAUUUAGCGGGUCAAAGAUUUCAAUAUGAUGAAGAGCUGCAAAUAUUACUUGAAGAUUAUUAUUCGUUGGAAUUAGUCAUAUAAUGACAUUAGCUAUUUACUUCAAACAAUAUAUGCUUUUUUUAAGUUACUGUGAUAUUAAUAUUUUGGAUUAGUACUUUCUUUUGUUUGUUAAAAUUUAAUGAGAUACAUUAUGUUUUAUGACUUAAUAUUAGUAUGUUUUGUUAUUUGAAACUUUUUUUGAAUGAAUG
This is a long non-coding RNA of Nicotiana attenuata, 590 nucleotides long. RefSeq lists it as uncharacterized. The transcript is spliced from 4 exons. NCBI's taxonomy places the organism in Eukaryota, Viridiplantae, Streptophyta, Magnoliopsida, Solanales, Solanaceae. The record is from RefSeq and is a predicted model, not a curated record.